This 450-nucleotide ribosomal RNA is filed under the name uncultured bacterium. Its description in RNAcentral is "bacterial SSU rRNA". It matches the Rfam family "Bacterial small subunit ribosomal RNA", at positions 354 to 796 of the family's 1533-position model. The record is from RNAcentral.
GUGGGGAAUAUUGGACAAUGGGCGAAAGCCUGAUCCAGCCAUGCCGCGUGUGUGAAGAAGGUCUUCGGAUUGUAAAGCACUUUAAGUUGGGAGGAAGGGCAGUAAGUUAAUACCUUGCUGUUUUGACGUUACCGACAGAAUAAGCACCGGCUAACUUCGUGCCAGCAGCCGCGGUAAUACGAAGGGUGCAAGCGUUAAUCGGAAUUACUGGGCGUAAAGCGUGCGUAGGUGGUUUUGUAAGUUGGAGGUGAAAUCCCCGGGCUCAACCUGGGAACUGCCUACAAAACUGCAUGACUAGAGUACGGUAGAGGGUAGUGGAAUUUCCUGUGUAGCGGUGAAAUGCGUAGAUAUAGGAAGGAACACCAGUGGCGAAGGCGACUACCUGGACUGAUACUGACACUGAGGUGCGAAAGCGUGGGGAGCAAACAGGAUUAGAUACCCCAGUAGUCC